CUAUACAUGACUCUGCGCAUAUCAAUAAGCGGAGGAAAAGAAACUAACAAGGAUUCCCCUAGUAACGGCGAGUGAAGCGGGAAGAGCUCAAAUUUGAAAUCUUAAAGGGUUUUCCCCUUGACGAAUUGUAGUUUAAAGAAGUGUUUUCUGUUGAAGGUUUUGGUAAAAGUUCUUUGGAAUAGGACAUCAUAGAGGGUGAGAAUCCCGUAUUUGACCUUUACUUUCAACUUUGUGAUACACUUUCAAAGAGUCGGAUUGUUUGGGAAUGCAGUCCAAAAUGGGUGGUAAAUUUCAUCUAAAGCUAAAUAUUGGCGAGAGACCGAUAGCGAACAAGUACCGUGAGGGAAAGAUGAAAAGAACUUUGAAAAGAGAGUUAAACAGUACGUGAAAUUGUCAAAAGGGAAGCGUUUGACACCAGUGUUGUUUUUCUGAAAAUCAAUUAAAGAACUGUUUAUGCUAAGUUGUUUAGACUUUAUCAGCUAACUGUUUAGUUUUGAGCUUUUCUUUAAUGCACUUUUCAGUUAACAAGUCAACAUCAAUUUCUUUUGCUGUAAAAAAGCUUGAGGAAGGUGGCUUGAGAUUCGUCUUAAGUGUUUAUAGCCUCUUGCCUAUGCAGUCGGAGAGAUUGAGGUCUGCAGCGUAGAUCCUUCGGGGCUAAAUGCAUUUGUGCUAAGUUAUAGCAUUUUAUAGACAACUUGUUGACUAUGAUUUGUCUUGUAGCUUACUCGCUUAUGUUAUUUUACCUACGCUUAGGAUGUUGACAGCAGUAUAGACUGU
This 777-nucleotide ribosomal RNA is filed under the name uncultured Neocallimastigales. RNAcentral describes it as "partial large subunit ribosomal RNA". It matches the Rfam family "Eukaryotic large subunit ribosomal RNA", at positions 22 to 637 of the family's 3401-position model. The record is from RNAcentral. Lineage: Eukaryota; Fungi; Neocallimastigomycota; Neocallimastigomycetes; Neocallimastigales.